This 2631-nucleotide long non-coding RNA is filed under the name Nicotiana benthamiana. RNAcentral describes it as "long non-coding RNA (NBEN_LNC025092)". The record is from RNAcentral. Lineage: Eukaryota; Viridiplantae; Streptophyta; Magnoliopsida; Solanales; Solanaceae.
UUCAAUGAAAAGGCUCCUUCUGCUCUUCUAAGUGUUCUUCUUCCCGAAGCUUCGAGCUUCAGCCAUGGUAGAUGGAAUCGAGCUUCAUUGAGCUCAUCUAACUUGCAAUUUACACUGUUAGUUUUCCUUUCUUAUAUCCAUAUACAUUCACACACGAAAACACAUACAAAAGACACAGACAAAAAAAGAAAAAGAAAAGAGGAAUGACCUGCCGCUGUUUCACCCCUUAUAAGCUUUCACAAUUCAUUUUCUUAGCACCAAUUACAGCAGCCAUUUCCACUCUGAUUUUCCAAAGAAAAACGGCAGAGAAGAUCUGAAAAUAGGAAACAUAUCUGAAAAUACACUAAAAGGGGCUGAAGAAAAGAGGUAGCAGCUCCUUUCUUCCUGACUUGAAAAAACGAUUUCCUUUUUCCUUAUUUUAGCACCAAAAAAUUCAGCGAACACUGAUCCAAAUCUGCCACAAAAUCAACCAAAAAAACUCCACCAAACCAGCCCUCUUCCACCAUAAAAAUGCAGUUGCUUCCAUCUUCAUUCAUUGUCAAUGCUAUCUGGAGUUGAAGAAGUCCGGGAGGCCGUUCGAGGUGCCGAGGUCGCUGGGAAAAAUUUCCAGUUGAAAUCUAAUCUUGCACUCGAUAUAUGCUGUUGUGACCAAUUCAUAGUGAAGCUAUAAAGGUCCGAUUUCAUUAUCUUUAAUCAUUUUACUGAUAUAUUGCUUGUGCUUAGCUGUUGGUUGAGCUUAUUUUGAUAAAAUCUUGGUAUGAAGCAGCCUACUAUGUAGUGGUUGGAAUUAUCUUUGUGUUCCUACUGUUUUUCCACAUUCUUUAAUCCUAUUAAUUGGUGGUUUAAGAAUAUUUGUAGAAAUUGAUGAAUUAUUGGCCCAGUUGAUUGUUAAGUAAGUCUUGAGUUUUUCACUUGGGAUUAAAAGGAUUUGAGUCAUAAUUUAAUGUAAAUGGGCAUUGGCAUCAAGAAAUUGGACAAUUUCACAUCAGUACCAUUGGGCUCCUUACUUUUUAUUUUAUAGCUCAUAUUUUAAUUUACAAUUAACCAAAAAUAAUAGGCUAAGAUUUAACAUCCAUCUCCAAUAGAUUCUCAAAAUUACUAUUUAAGUUAUUAAAUAUGUGGAUUUAAAAUUCGAAUUUAAGUUUUUUGAGAAAUAUGUGUGUAUUUGUCUUAGGUUAAAAGCAAGAACAUGAUCUCCUUCCCGUUUUUUAUUGUGCAAAUCUCCUCUUUCCCUACUUUUCGUUUUUUCUGUUUUCUCUCGUCUGAGACUCCUCUCCCUCUCCCUGUUUUAUUUUUGUCCCUUUUUUUAUUUUUUUUAUUUUGGGGUGUAGCUUUGUGUGUGUUUUUUUCUGAAAUCUGCCGAGCCCCUCUCUUUAUUAUGUGUGUCUAGAAGAUAUAUAGGUAUAAGUACAUGGAUUAAUUGGUGGUCUAGAAAAAAGUGUGUGUAUAUGCAUGAGAGUUUUGAGGGAGAGCAUGUGAGUUUGUUACAAAAGAUACAGAAGAAUUUUACCACAUGAAAAUGACUCAUUAACUCUUGCUUUAAUUAAUGUUUUUUAUUUUCUUUUAAGAGCGUAAAAUAAAGAUAUUAGCUAAAUAUAUUAAAAUAAAGAACCCAAUUUUUUGAUUUUUAAUUUUCUUAAAUAAAACCUACUAAAAAUAAAAAAAAAUUUAAAGUAUGUAGAUUAAACUUAGAAGUAUUUACAUACACUAAAAGUGCUAAAAAAAUUCCAAGUAUGGUAAAAAAAUUAGGUGCUCACAAUCAUAAUUAAUUUAUAUUAGCGCUCUAGCGGGAUCCACCCCUAUAGAGUCUAACAUACUGAUAGUGAGCGUAGGUACUUACUGAUUACAAGUGCCGAGUACGAGUUCCGAAUAAUCAUGAGGACUGCGUGAUUAGGAUGACUGAGUAACUGGGAGGACUGAGUGACUUGGAUGAUUGUGUGAUUGAGCGUGCUGAGUGAGGUUGACUGCUCCGAGCAUGAGCACAUCGCUGUGGUGCGUUACACAUUUUAUGCAUACUUGGCAUGUAGGCAUAGCGAUGCAUUUCCUCAUGUUGUACGGUACUGUGGCAUUCAUGACUUCAUAUGCACAUUGAUAUGUAGGCAUAAAGAUGUAAUUUCCUCAUGCCAUGUGAUAAUGAAAUAUCUUAUAUUUUGUUGAAAGUUUUGGAAGAAUCUUAGUUUUUCUAACAUACUCACAUUUUGGUGAUUUCGGUAAAAUAUUUGGGCUUUGUUGUUAUACCUGAAAAAUCAUUUCUAUUUUCCAUAUCCAUGAAUGAGUUGAGUAUCAUAUCUUGAGUAUUACUUGUACCAUUUUCAUUAUAUUGUUAUGAGUUGUUCUUGGCUGUUAGUGUCCGACUCUCAGCAUAGUCCAAGCUUGUCACUGCUUUUAACCAAAGGUUAGGAUUGUUACUUAUUGAGUACAUGAGGUCGGUUAUACUCAUACUAUUGUUCCGCACCUUGCAUGGAGAUUUCGAAGUUGAUGUUGCUGUGUGUGGUGGGAGCUGGCACUGAAGAUGUACCUACAUUUCGAUUAUAACUUUCUCUUGUUCUUGGUAGCUUUAGAUUUAUGAAUGUGUUUAUGUAUAUUUCGAACAGAUGAUAUAUUUAUUUUAUACCAGCUUUGUAUACUCUG